AUCUGGAUGACGAGUCCCAAACAGGACGAAAUGCACAUCCUGGAU
Molecule: non-coding RNA, 45 nt
Filed under: Trichobilharzia regenti
Lineage: Eukaryota; Metazoa; Platyhelminthes; Trematoda; Strigeidida; Schistosomatidae
Source: RNAcentral